UACGUAGGGGGCAAGCGUUAUCCGGAUUUACUGGGUGUAAAGGGGGCGCAGACGGCAGCGCAAGCCAGGAGUGAAAGCCCGGGGCCCAACCCCGGGACUGCUCUUGGAACUGCGUGGCUGGAGUGCAGGAGGGGCAGGCGGAAUUCCUGGUGUAGCGGUGAAAUGCGUAGAUAUCAGGAGGAACACCGGUGGCGAAGGCGGCCUGCUGGACUGCAACUGACGUUGAGGCCCGAAAGCGUGGGGAGCAAACAGG
Molecule: ribosomal RNA, 253 nt
Filed under: uncultured bacterium
Lineage: Bacteria
Description: partial 16S ribosomal RNA
Rfam family: Bacterial small subunit ribosomal RNA
Source: RNAcentral